GUAGGGAAUAUUGGACAAUGGGGGCAACCCUGAUCCAGCGACGCCGCGUGAGUGAUGAAGGCCUUCGGGCCGUAAAGCUCUGUUGCAGGGGAAGAACACAAUGACGGUACCCUGCUAGAAAGGAUCGGCUAACUUCGUGCCAGCAGCCGCGGUAAGACGAGGGAUCCUAGCGUUGUUCGGAAUUAUUGGGCGUAAAGCGGGUGCAGGUGGCUUGGUAAGUCAGAUGUGAAAGCCUGGGGCUUAACCCCAGAAGUGCAUUUGAUACUGCGAAGCUUGAGUGCUGGAGAGGCUACUAGAAUUCUUGGUGUAGUGGUGAAAUACGUAGAUAUCAAGAGGAAUACCGGAGGCGAAGGCGGGUAGCUGGCCAGACACUGACACUCAGACCCGAAAGCGUGGGGAUCAAACAGGAUUAGAAACCCGUGUAGUCC
Molecule: ribosomal RNA, 428 nt
Filed under: uncultured bacterium
Lineage: Bacteria
Description: partial 16S ribosomal RNA
Rfam family: Bacterial small subunit ribosomal RNA
Source: RNAcentral